Long non-coding RNA from Brienomyrus brachyistius, 253 nucleotides. RefSeq lists it as uncharacterized. The record is from RefSeq and is a predicted model, not a curated record. NCBI's taxonomy places the organism in Eukaryota, Metazoa, Chordata, Actinopteri, Osteoglossiformes, Mormyridae. The transcript is spliced from 2 exons.
UCCACUUCUCCUUGUCAUUGUCGUCCUCUUGGCUCUUUGGCUAUUCCUCCUCUUCAUAAACACUUUCAAGUUCAUGCAUCUCUUCCGUUCACCGUCGGCUUUCUUCAGAGCGUCUUUUGGCAGCGGUCAUGCUAGCUGACGGUGGCCCUGGAAAGUGGCCCGGAAACAUCCGCUUUAACAUUCAUUACAAGUCUGCUGCAAAACUAUUGUUGGACUGUGGAACAUAAAAGGGCUGGUAUGGCCUCAACCGAAA